This 791-nucleotide ribosomal RNA is filed under the name marine metagenome. RNAcentral's name for it is "bacterial SSU rRNA". It matches the Rfam family "Bacterial small subunit ribosomal RNA", at positions 718 to 1520 of the family's 1533-position model. The record is from RNAcentral.
AAGGCAGCUUUCUGGAUCAUUACUGACACUGAGGAACGAAAGCAUGGGUAGCGAAGAGGAUUAGAUACCCUCGUAGUCCAUGCCGUAAACGAUGUGUGUUAGACGUUGGAAAUUUAUUUUCAGUGUCGCAGGGAAACCGAUAAACACACCGCCUGGGGAGUACGACCGCAAGGUUAAAACUCAAAUGAAUUGACGGGGACCCGCACAAGUAGUGGAGCAUGUGGUUUAAUUCGAAGAUACGCGCAGAACCUUACCAACACUUGACAUGUUCGUCGCGACUCUAAGAGAUUAGAGUUUUCGGUUCGGCCGGACGAAACACAGGUGCUGCAUGGCUGUCGUCAGCUCGUGUCGUGAGAUGUUGGGUUAAGUCCCGCAACGAGCGCAACCCUCACUUUUAGUUGCCAUCAUUAAGUUGGGCACUCUGAAAGAACUGCCAGUGAUAAGCUGGAGGAAGGUGGGGAUGACGUCAAGUCCUCAUGGCCCUUACGUGUUGGGCUACACACGUGCUACAAUGGUAUCUACAACAGGAAGCAAGACUGCGAAGUUAAGCAAAUCCCUAAAAGAUACCUCAGUUCGGAUUGCACUCUGCAACUCGAGUGCAUGAAGCUGGAAUUACUAGUAAUCGUGGAUCAGCGUGCCACGGUGAAUGCGUUCCCGGGUCUUGUACACACCGCCCGUCACACCAUGGGAGUUGGUUCUACCUUAAGGCAAGGUUUCAAACCCUUGACCACGGUAUAGUCAGCGACUGGGGUGAAGUCGUAACAAGGUAGCCGUAGGGGAACCUGCGGCUG